UACGAAGGGUGCAAGCGUUAAUCGGAAUUACUGGGCGUAAAGCGUGCGCAGGCGGCUUUGCAAGACAGAUGUGAAAUCCCCGGGCUCAACCUGGGAACUGCAUUUGUGACUGCAAGGCUAGAGUACGGCAGAGGGGGAUGGAAUUCCGCGUGUAGCAGUGAAAUGCGUAGACAUGCGGAGGAACACCAAUGGCGAAGGCAAUCCCCUGGGCCUGUACUGACGCUCAUGCACGAAAGCGUGGGGAGCAAACAGG
Molecule: ribosomal RNA, 253 nt
Filed under: uncultured bacterium
Lineage: Bacteria
Description: partial 16S ribosomal RNA
Rfam family: Bacterial small subunit ribosomal RNA
Source: RNAcentral